RNAcentral lists this ribosomal RNA (407 nucleotides) under uncultured bacterium. RNAcentral's name for it is "partial 16S ribosomal RNA". It matches the Rfam family "Bacterial small subunit ribosomal RNA", at positions 28 to 526 of the family's 1533-position model. The record is from RNAcentral.
GACGAACGCUGGCGGCGUGCCUAAUACAUGCAAGUAGGACGCAGUUGCGAACGGUUGAGUAACGCGUAGGUAACUACCUAUUAGAGGGGGAUAACUCUUGGAAACGAUAGCUAAUACCGCAUACUAGUAGAUGGACCUGCGUUGUAUUAGCUAGUAGGUAGGGUAAUGGCCUACCUAGGCAACGAUACAUAGCCGACCUUGGAGGGGUAUCGGCCACAAUGGGACUGAGACACGGGCCAGACUCCCUCCGGAAGCAGCAGUAGGGAAUCUUCGGGAAUGGGGGGAACCCUGAACGAGCAAAGGCGCGGGAGUGAAGAAGGUUUUCGGAUCGUAAAGCUCUGUUGUUAAGGAAGCGGUACUUAACCAGAAAGGGACGGCUAACUACGUGCCAGCAGCCGCGGUAAUUC